GGGGGCGUAGCUCAGUUGGGAGAGUGCUUGACUGGCAGUCAAGAGGUCGUGGGUUCGAGCCCCAUCGUCUCCA
RNAcentral lists this transfer RNA (73 nucleotides) under Trichococcus pasteurii. RNAcentral's name for it is "tRNA_Ala_GGC". It matches the Rfam family "tRNA". Rfam says of the family: Transfer RNA (tRNA) molecules are approximately 80 nucleotides in length. Their secondary structure includes four short double-helical elements and three loops (D, anti-codon, and T loops). Lineage: Bacteria; Bacillati; Bacillota; Bacilli; Lactobacillales; Carnobacteriaceae. The record is from RNAcentral. RNAcentral also lists the same sequence under 9 other names.